Molecule: ribosomal RNA, 254 nt
Filed under: uncultured prokaryote
Description: partial 16S ribosomal RNA
Rfam family: Bacterial small subunit ribosomal RNA
Source: RNAcentral
UACGAAGGGGGCUAGCGUUGUUCGGAAUCACUGGGCGUAAAGCGCACGCAGGCGGAUUGUUAAGUCAGGGGUGAAAUCCCGAGGCUCAACCUCGGAACUGCCUUUGAUACUGGCAAUCUUCGAGUCCGGGAGAGGUGAGUGGAACUCCGAGUGUAGAGGUGAAAUUCGUAGAUAUUCGGAAGAACACCAGUGGCGAAGGCGACUUCCUGGACCAGCACCGACGUUCAGGCACGAAAGCGUGGGGAGCAAACAGG